UACAGAGGGUGCGAGCGUUAAUCGGAAUUACUGGGCGUAAAGCGCACGUAGGCGGCUUGGCAUGUCGGGUGUGAAAUCCCCGGGCUCAACCUGGGAACUGCAUCCGAAACUGCCUUGCUAGAGUAUGGGAGAGGGAAGUGGAAUUUCCGGUGUAGCGGUGAAAUGCGUGGAUAUCGGAAGGAACAUCAGUGGCGAAGGCGACUUCCUGGACCAAUACUGACGCUCAGGUGCGAAAGCGUGGGGAGCAAACAGG
RNAcentral lists this ribosomal RNA (253 nucleotides) under uncultured bacterium. RNAcentral describes it as "partial 16S ribosomal RNA". It matches the Rfam family "Bacterial small subunit ribosomal RNA", at positions 524 to 776 of the family's 1533-position model. The record is from RNAcentral.